Molecule: ribosomal RNA, 600 nt
Filed under: Streptomyces tritolerans
Lineage: Bacteria; Bacillati; Actinomycetota; Actinomycetes; Kitasatosporales; Streptomycetaceae
Also listed under: 1 other name
Description: bacterial SSU rRNA
Rfam family: Bacterial small subunit ribosomal RNA
Source: RNAcentral
UCUGCCCUGCACUCUGGGACAAGCCCUGGAAACGGGGUCUAAUACCGGAUACUGACCCUCGCAGGCAUCUGCGAGGUUCGAAAGCUCCGGCGGUGCAGGAUGAGCCCGCGGCCUAUCAGCUUGUUGGUGAGGUAAUGGCUCACCAAGGCGACGACGGGUAGCCGGCCUGAGAGGGCGACCGGCCACACUGGGACUGAGACACGGCCCAGACUCCUACGGGAGGCAGCAGUGGGGAAUAUUGCACAAUGGGCGAAAGCCUGAUGCAGCGACGCCGCGUGAGGGAUGACGGCCUUCGGGUUGUAAACCUCUUUCAGCAGGGAAGAAGCGAAAGUGACGGUACCUGCAGAAGAAGCGCCGGCUAACUACGUGCCAGCAGCCGCGGUAAUACGUAGGGCGCAAGCGUUGUCCGGAAUUAUUGGGCGUAAAGAGCUCGUAGGCGGCUUGUCGCGUCGGUUGUGAAAGCCCGGGGCUUAACCCCGGGUCUGCAGUCGAUACGGGCAGGCUAGAGUUCGGUAGGGGAGAUCGGAAUUCCUGGUGUAGCGGUGAAAUGCGCAGAUAUCAGGAGGAACACCGGUGGCGAAGGCGGAUCUCUGGGCCGAU